Molecule: long non-coding RNA, 250 nt
Organism: Osmia bicornis bicornis
Lineage: Eukaryota; Metazoa; Arthropoda; Insecta; Hymenoptera; Megachilidae
Exons: 3
Source: RefSeq, a predicted model, not a curated record
UUAAAAGACUUCCGGCUUCUUCAAGGCGCGAGGCCAGUUCCGCUGAAGAAAUUUCCCGCGCAGAGUAUGCGCGGUUUGCAAGUAGUACCAGUGAAGAUGGAGGUACUUAGGAAAACAGAUUGUAGAUUCUGAUGAGAAUUAAUAAAAAACGCCUAAUAACAAUCGAAUAUUGGGUUUACCUUUCAACCGAGAUAUCCCUGGUUCUACUAUCUCCAACACAUUAUACAUUUCUCUACAAGCAUCCAACAUU